RNAcentral lists this ribosomal RNA (165 nucleotides) under uncultured bacterium. Its description in RNAcentral is "partial 16S ribosomal RNA". It matches the Rfam family "Bacterial small subunit ribosomal RNA", at positions 1336 to 1500 of the family's 1533-position model. The record is from RNAcentral.
UAGUAAUCGUAGGUCAGCAUACUACGGUGAAUACGUUCCCGGGCCUUGUACACACCGCCCGUCAAACCAUGAGAGUUGGCAACACCCGAAGUCGGUAGUCUAACCGCAAGGAGGACGCCGCCGAAGGUGGGGUUGAUGAUUAGGGUUAAGUCGUAACAAGGUAUC